This 254-nucleotide ribosomal RNA is filed under the name uncultured bacterium. Its description in RNAcentral is "partial 16S ribosomal RNA". It matches the Rfam family "Bacterial small subunit ribosomal RNA", at positions 524 to 776 of the family's 1533-position model. The record is from RNAcentral.
UACAGAGGGGGCAAGCGUUGUUCGGAUUUACUGGGCGUAAAGGGCGCGUAGGCGGUCAGCACAAGUCAGUUGUGAAAUCUCCGGGCUUAACUCGGAAAGGUCAACUGAUACUGUGCGACUAGAGUGCAGAAGGGGCAACUGGAAUUCUCGGUGUAGCGGUGAAAUGCGUAGAUAUCGAGAGGAACACCGGUGGCGAAGGCGGCGACCUGGUCCGAUACUGACGCUGAGGCGCGAAAGCGUGGGGAGCAAACAGG